This 721-nucleotide ribosomal RNA is filed under the name Flavobacterium sp. 3AGV. Its description in RNAcentral is "bacterial SSU rRNA". It matches the Rfam family "Bacterial small subunit ribosomal RNA", at positions 66 to 788 of the family's 1533-position model. Lineage: Bacteria; Pseudomonadati; Bacteroidota; Flavobacteriia; Flavobacteriales; Flavobacteriaceae. The record is from RNAcentral.
GGGGUAUAGUUCUUCGGAAUUAGAGACCGGCGCACGGGUGCGUAACGCGUAUGCAAUCUACCUUUUACAGAGGGAUAGCCCAGAGAAAUUUGGAUUAAUACCUCAUAGUAUAGCAGUUUCGCAUGAAACCACUAUUAAAGUCACAACGGUAAAAGAUGAGCAUGCGUCCCAUUAGCUAGUUGGUAAGGUAACGGCUUACCAAGGCUACGAUGGGUAGGGGUCCUGAGAGGGAGAUCCCCCACACUGGUACUGAGACACGGACCAGACUCCUACGGGAGGCAGCAGUGAGGAAUAUUGGACAAUGGGCGCAAGCCUGAUCCAGCCAUGCCGCGUGCAGGAUGACGGUCCUAUGGAUUGUAAACUGCUUUUAUACAGGAAGAAACCCUGGUUCGUGAACCAGCUUGACGGUACUGUAAGAAUAAGGAUCGGCUAACUCCGUGCCAGCAGCCGCGGUAAUACGGAGGAUCCAAGCGUUAUCCGGAAUCAUUGGGUUUAAAGGGUCCGUAGGCGGUUUAAUAAGUCAGUGGUGAAAGCCCAUCGCUCAACGGUGGAACGGCCAUUGAUACUGUUAAACUUGAAUUAUUAGGAAGUAACUAGAAUAUGUAGUGUAGCGGUGAAAUGCUUAGAGAUUACAUGGAAUACCAAUUGCGAAGGCAGGUUACUACUAAUGGAUUGACGCUGAUGGACGAAAGCGUGGGUAGCGAACAGGAUUAGAUACCCU